GAUAAACGCUGGCGGCGUGCCUAACACAUGCAAGUCGAACGUCCUUUCCCGCAAGGGAGAGGGAGUGGCGGACGGGUGAGGAACACGUGGAUAUCUACCUCCGGGUGGGGAAUACCGUCGGGAAACCGACGACAAGACCGCAUAGCCUUGGCAACAAGGAAAGCUUUGCCGUAAGGCAAGGCGCCGGGAGAUGAGUCUGCGUCCGAUUAGUUUGUCGGUGGGGUAAUGGCCUACCGAGGCGACGAUCGGUAGCUGGUCUGAGAGGACGAUCAGCCACACUAGGAUUGAGAACGGCCCAGACU
This 302-nucleotide ribosomal RNA is filed under the name uncultured bacterium. RNAcentral describes it as "bacterial SSU rRNA". It matches the Rfam family "Bacterial small subunit ribosomal RNA", at positions 28 to 337 of the family's 1533-position model. The record is from RNAcentral.